This is a ribosomal RNA of Colius striatus (speckled mousebird), 107 nucleotides long. NCBI's taxonomy places the organism in Eukaryota, Metazoa, Chordata, Aves, Coliiformes, Coliidae. The record is from Rfam.
ACCUACGGCCAUACUACCCUGAGAACAGCCAAUCUUAUCUGAUCUUGGAAGAUAAGCAAUGUCAGGCCCAGUUAGUACUUGAAUGGGACUACCAGGUGCUGUAGGCU